Passer domesticus (house sparrow) is the source of this 7836-nucleotide long non-coding RNA. RefSeq lists it as uncharacterized. The transcript is spliced from 4 exons. The record is from RefSeq and is a predicted model, not a curated record. Lineage: Eukaryota; Metazoa; Chordata; Aves; Passeriformes; Passeridae.
UACUGCAUUUCUGAUGGGCAUAUACUCGGUCAUUUGUGUGCAUAUGAUGUGGGAAAUCUGCAUAACCAAAUAUUGGGCAGUAUAACUGCCUGUAUAAUCAUUCAUUAAUUUUAUUAAAGGUGAGCUGGGACUGGAAUGAGGAUUAAUUAUAAAAAGUAAAAAGCAUAAUUAGGAGCAUACUUUUCCUCUUACAGCUAUCUUUUUCUCUGAAUUCUUUUUCUUGGUGCCCUAAUUAUUUCCCCUCUUUUAAAAUUCACUUUAAUUUCAAUUUAACUCUCCCUGGGCAUGCAAACUUGACUUUUUUUUUUCCCUCAAAGAUUGAUUGACAGCAGUUUCGGAACUGUGACAGUGCUAAUUAAAACCUUGAAUCUAUGUUUUUAUGAAGCCUGAAAGACUCUGCAGCGCUACAGGAUCCAGAAUCUUGUGUCUUGAAUGAAUUUUUUUAACAGCUAAUAUGGAAUCAUUAAUAGUUGCCUUUCCUCAGGCUUGAUAUCCAGCUCUCUAUUUAUCACUUAUUUUAGAGCUUUUAGAGUUGACAACAUGAGAAGUGGAAGUCCUCCCAGGUAAUGAUACCUGUUCUGUCUAGCCAGUGUCAUUUUACACUUUGCCUUUUCUUCUUGGCAGAGCUGGGCAGAGUUGGCCCUUACCAAAUGGCAACACAGUUUAACUCACAGUCCUGUGUGCUCAUGGGGAAUUCAUGGUAGCAAUACUGUGGUCGUUUUACUGUCUGUGGACUGACCGACUCUACUGAAACUAUGUUGUCAGGAAUCUUCUACCUUACACUUGAAAGAAGAAUAUUGAUAGCAUAAGGCAUUGAGUGUUGUAUGCAUUAGAAUUGAAUCCUGAUUUCUAGCUUGCAAACUUUCUGGAGGCCAGAGUAUUUCCAGAAUCUUAAGCUCUACAGCCUAAUCGUUAGGAUUGCCUGCUGGAGAAGGCGCUGUCUUUUCAGCACCUGAGUCCUUUCUGAACAUGAUACACUAUUAGACUCAGCUGCCUCACCUGUGGGCCUGAAUACCCAAUACCCAGUGUAAAUCUUUUUGUCUGAGUGCUUUUCCUUUCUGUCUGAAUAGUUAUGUUUUCAUCCUCAUCAUCUUCCUCCACUGAAUCAAGGUCAGCAAGACCAUCCAGAGGGAAGGACAGAAAAACAGCAUUGUGACAAGAGAUAGCAGAGCUCAGUGUGAAUUGAUUGGUGAAGGAUGAUUUUGAAAGAUCUCAGCUACUGUAAAAGCAGCUGGUAAAAAAACCUCAACAUCUCCAGCUGAUAAGGAUGAUCUGUCUUGCCUCUGCAUCUGCCACCCCAUGCACACUUGCUGUAUGUAUUUAGAAUACAUGUAUUUCUUAAGUCCCUGCCUGCAUCACUCCUUUGUCACAGUAAUUUUCAUGGGAAAAAUUGCUAUCCAUCAAUUCGUGAGCUGUUGGACUAUUUUGGAAUACAUCAUAAACAUAUCAGGGUAUAGAGAAGUGAAAGUGAACUUAACUAUGGAGGGCAAAAAGCAGGUGUCACUGAUAUAUUUUUCCCUUCCUUAUGCAAAAACCUUUCUGGCAAAAUUAUCAUAAGGAGCUAACACAGUUAUUCUUAAGGAACUGCUUUUGCCACAUGUGUUUAGUCUUGGCUAGAGUGGUUAUUGCUUGCAUUUCUGAUUUUAAUAUGAAUGUCUGCAAGAAAUUGCAUCUGGCGAUAGUAACUGCCUGCCAUGGCAGUGAUUGUGCCUAAUUGCAGAGAAGAUAUAUCCAUAGAUCAAAAAUUGCUAAUUUGGGUCACCUCUGCUCAUAAAGAUGGAAGGGAUUAUGUGAUUUUGACUCGUUUUUACCUAAAAGGAGUAUUUAUCAGUCCCUGAACAUCUCCUUUUCAAACAGAAAUAUUAUAAUUUGUUAAAUAUAAAAUAAUAAUUUUAUUCCCCCCUUUAUAAAUGAUUGAUAGCAUUUGCAGUAAGAGUGUUCUGAUUGAUAAGUGCUAGGCUCUGUAUAACAUGGUAUCAAUACUCUUGCCUGCAAAUGCUUAUAAGGUAAUUUUAUGACAAGCACAAUGGACUAUAGCUAGCUAAAUACAGAAUGGGAAGGUGGUAGAACAUCACAAUGAUCUUGUUUUGCAUGAAAAGGAAUAGUUUUAAUUGAUCAUGCUCUGAGACAGACUACAGUUUAAAAAAAUGGAAGUGCUAAAAAGACAAAAUAUGGUAAUUUAUUUUUUUCUUUCUGAGCAGGAGUUUCUUAUCAGUGUGCAGAUGUACCAUUCCUUCUCUCUUGAUGAGUAUCAGAGUGCAAAAGGUCUAGCUGAUAAAUAAAGUUCUUUAAUGAUCCAAAGGUAACUUUGGCAAGUAAAGGAUAUCAGAUAUUGGAGGCUGAAUUAACUGUUGCUCUCUGUAUAGUACCAGGGACUUAUCUUUCAUACAGUGAAAAAAGAGAGCAAAGUUUGAGCAGAAUGACUGUCUAUUUUGCUUUGUGAAUCUGGAUCUAAACAACAGGUGGAAAGGAGAAAACAGAGCAGUGGCAACCACUGUGGUUUUCAUCUUUCCUCAAUGAAUGUGUUUCUUGUAGUGUUUUUAGACUGAAAAUAAUCCUGCAUUGUUAUUAAUCAUAUUUAUUAUUACAGUGGUUAAGGGUCAGCCAAGUAUUGAUCCCCAUUUAGCUAAGCCCUGUACAAACACAAAGUUGACAGUCUAAACAGACGAGUUGAAAAUAAUGUAGAGCAUAAACGAAGUAAACUGCUCAUAGCAGGUCUUGUCAGUUCCACAGUUAAUUUUAGUAGGAGAUGAAUAAUUUGAAAAGAGAAGCAAAGGAAGUUGGUUAGGGAAUGACUGAAGGCCAGUAAAAGGAAGAAUGUGGAAAAAGCUAAGUAUGUGUUGGAGUCAUGGAGCUGCUUAUAAAUGAAGAACUGCAUUAAGAGACAGUUAUCUAUUAUGAAGCCAUCUCUCUCCUCCAAAACAGAAAGUCUUAUGACUGACAUCAGGUCUGUGUUCAGAACCUCAAUUUUGCAACAAAUUAUUGAAAGCAACAUACUUUCUUUUGUGUUAGCAGUGUGCAACUAAUUUGUUUUCACCUAUUUUUACAGCAUCAUUUGGUAGCAUACAGAAAGUUGAAGGGAACCUGGGGGUGUUUCCAGCUUUUCAGCUCCUCUCCACUCUGCUCUUGUUUCCUGCAACAACAUAAGCCAGUUUCUAAUAUUAACAGAUUUAGAUACCAGAUUAAUUUCUGGGUAUCACUGAUGCUUAUUCUACCCCUUUCAGACUAGGGCAGGCUCAGCCAUCAGUAAAAGUCUUAGGUCCUUGUGUGGCCAGGAAUUGUAUGUGGCUGCAGAACCUUGUACUCUUCACUCUUUGUGGAAAUCUCUACUCCUGUGUGUAGUCUACUUUCUGGGAAUCCUCUGUUUAAGCAGUCCUAUAUGACAUGGAGCCCUGCAUCACUUACUGCUGGAAGGAGGGAAUCCUUAAUGUCCCAGUGUCUGUCAGACACUUCCCACUGCUUGUAGUUUUAUAGUACUGUCACUGCAUUAGUGCACUGGAGCAGUUUGUCUGGACAGGUUGUGAAAUGCCCAUCCUCAGAGAGCUUCAAAAUGCGAUUGGACAAGGCCCUAGGCAAUCUGAUCUAGCUUUGAUGUUAAGCAUGGCUUGAACCAUAUGCUCAACUGAAUGGCCUCCCAUGAACCCUUCAUACCUAAAUUACUCUGCAAUGACCCAAAUUACACUGCCAGUACAUCUGUAAAAUCUCUGGGCAAAAAUUCUGAUUUGAUCAUCUUUUAAGUAAGUAUUUAGGAAGGCGUAGAAAGAUGAGGCCUGAGUUGCCUCCGAAUGAAACCACAGAUCUUCCAAAGAUGCAUUUGAAACAAUUGCAACUGCUCCAAAAAAACUUAUUGUUAAUGGCAGUGGCUUUUAUUGAUUCAGUUUUCUUCUGUGGAUUUACCAUUUCUUGUUCAUAGAGUUUAAAACAGCUGGUCCACCGUUCUUCAUUAAAGAUGAUGUCUUAUUUAAGGACUUUGGUGGACUGAAAGAGUUCUCAGAUGAUCUUGAGUUUAUGUGGUCUGUUUCAUGGGACCUUUGCUGCCACUUCUCUAUGCCUCUUUCAGGAUUUCAGGAAAGACUUUUUGUGUUUUAGAGUUCUAAGCUUCUAGGUACUAACAAUUAGUCUUUUGGCACAAAGCUGAUAUCAUCUGCCAACAGAUAAAAAUUUGUAAAAAAAAAAUCUAUCUGCAUUCCUUCCUUUCCUGAAAUAAAUCAGAAAAACAUUUGUGUUUUUAACUGAAAUAGUUUCAGGCUCAUGCUAACUGCAGCAAAAUUUCAUUUAUUAUUCCCAGCUGUUCAGCAUUUGUAGAACCCAUCUAGAGGGCAGUGAUUAACUGGAGUAAGAUGCAAAUGGACUAAGGGAUAGCUGUACUUCCCUUCCAACUGAACUAUUCUAUUCUAUUUUGAAGUUCAACAUAGGGUGUAGAAGGUUGGACUUGAGACCUCUUGAUGUCCCUUCUAACCUGAGUUGUCCAAAGAACCAUUGCUCCUAUGCUAAGAAUCCUUUUCACAGUGGACAAUCCCAAACACUCACAAUACACAUGUUCUAUGCAAAUGCUCCUGCUAUGUGUGUCUUUUCCUCUGAAAAGGAUGAAGAGAAAAAUAGUGGUGCUUUCACAAAGAUAAAUUUACUAUUCUUCCUGUUUGACUCAAUAGGGAACUGUGAAUCUACAGUUUCACUACCUGGGUGAACUUUGUUUCUUAAUUCCCUCAGUAAUAAGUCAUGCUAUAAAUUUUCAUCUGAAUUUGCAGUUACUAUAAGCAAAAUAAUUAUAAGAUACAAAAUACAUAAUACUUUAGGCUGAACUCUUUGUUAGGCCUAUCUGCAAAUCCCCUAAUUUGUAGGUAUUUACUUGCACAAAGAAAGCUAAAAAAAUAAAUUUUGUGUUUCUUUAAAAGCUGUGUAAAAUGCACAUAUCUGACAGAUCUCACUAAAGAGUUUUUUGAAGAUGUACUAAAAAAGCAGUCUUGUUUGGGUAAGAUCAAAUUAUUUUCUUGAAUAAUGAACUGAGGGCUCAAACCAGUGUGAAUGUGGUUACAAAAAUGAGACAAUGACAACUUAAGCAAAUGAUGUCUUUUGCUUCCUAUUAUGGGACAUCACUUGAUGUCAGCACUGAUUUAUUGGUCUUACAGCUGAAACUUAGUCUAAGCAAGGAUGUUUUGGAUUAUCAGACAGGGAGGCAAGUGACACAGGAGGAAUGUCUUUUUCAGGAUCUUUCACUUUCCUUUAACUUUUUACAUAAAUUCAAACCACAGGUACAGCAAAGUGAGGGACAGAAUAAUUCUCAUGGCCAAGCUUCAAUAAAGAAGGGCAGCAUGGAGAGCACAAAUUUGUUUCAGACUUUUAUGAAUAGAGAGAAAUGGCCUGUUGCAUUUCUUUACAGAUCUACAGAUUUCCUGGGCUUCUCCUUCCUGAGGGGAUGCUGAGUUAUGCAAAAAGUGUUGUUUAAAAGCACUGAGAAGUCCCAGAUUUUUCAUUAUGAAAAAUUAGUAACAGUAAAACAAGAAGUUUCAGUUAGGUAAUUAAUUCUUCAUUUGACCACCUAAAUCAGUGCAAUUGGUUUCCUUUAUGUGACACAAGUAGAAUUUGAGAGCAGAUUUGGCUUCAAAUGCACUUGUUAAAACAGGUAAUUAUAUUUCAUCUUAGUGUACUUGGCACUUGGUGAUUAUGCAUUACUGAUUUGUGUAGCCAAUCUUCAAAACUGAUGUUAAUAAUGUCAAGUCUUUGUAUGGAAGUAUUUGUUUAAGACACCAUAGCUUUGCUUUUUUUAGUGAACUAGAAGUAGAUUCUGAAUUUGCUUUCUUAUCAUGUCCAUACUCUGGCUCUGUAAUAGGUUAUUAUAUGUUUCAAGUUCUUAGGGUUUUGGAUAUGGCAAGAAAAAAUGUAAGUGUCACUUCUGGAGUAUACAGUAGGUAGUUUACUUUGUAAAAAGCCAACAACUUGGCUUUUUUCUUCUCCUUCCAAAAUAGAGGUGACAGGUUAUUUUUAAAAACACAUCUUAGGCAAGUAAUUCAAACCUCAAAUUUCUAUAGUCCUUUAAGUGUCAUUUUUUUUCCUAAAGGCUGUUAUCAAAAUAAUCUAAAUCACUUUCUUUCUAUUAAUCAAAGAAUUACAGCACUUAAAUUUGUAGUUGUCACUCACAUAGUUUGUGCCUAAAGCAUUUUGAAAUUGUUUUGUGUGGUCUUUUCAAUCACUCUGUUUUUUUUUUUCUCAAGACAUUGUCAACAUGCACAAAGAAUGGGAUCACAAUGGUAAUGAAUUUCAUUCCUUUGGGACUUACAAGGUGAGAUGUAAUCUGAUCUCCAAGGGCUUUAACAAAAAUAGUCAUUGUUUCAGAAAUUCUAACAUUAAACACAAUCAACAACUACUCAGUCAAUGGAAUAUCUUUCCCAGUAAAUUGGAAAACAUAAGCAAGACUUUCCUACUCAGCUCAACAAAACCUAAUGAAAUCCAUAAAUUGGCAUCUUCAAGAAAUAAUUUCUGGUUUUCAUAUUGAAAAUUCAAAGAUAGGUAACACCUCACCAUUGCUUUGGGCAUUUUAUGUUUUAGCAGAAUUCCUAAAACAGCACCUGCAUUAUGAGAUUAGAAGAGAUUGCAUUAGAUUGUUAUUAUUAUUAGGAAUUAUUUGUUCAUGUUGUAGAAACUUGGAAAAGCAGACAUUACUGUACUAAAGACCAUAUGAUCUUGAAGUAUUUUUGUCUAAAAGUAACAGGGACAGAUAAAAAGUAAUGAAGAGUUCAAGGACUGAUAGAUGAGAUCCAUUUACAUGUUGGAGAGUCAUGCAUAAAAUAAAUGUGAACAUAAUAUUUCUAAUACGGGCUACUGCAAGCAGUGUAGUAAUUUUGAUUCAUUAAUCAGCUGUACAUUGUUGAGGUAUAAUGUAUUCUUUGACUGUGUAUGUUCUUAAUUAGCUUGAACAAACAGAAUUUGUCUAAAGAUUUAUGGGAUAAAUAAACACAAAAUUUAGCACAUCAUCAUAGACUUUCUGGGAUGAUAUAGACUUUUUUUAUUACCUCUAAGUAGGUGUGUUGAUUAAACUGUAAUGUACAAAAGAGAGGAAUAUUAAUUAUUUAUUGAUUAUAAUAUUAUUUUUAAAAGUAUAUUUUACAGUUUCACACUUUGCUUAGCUCACUGUAAGUUAAGACAUUUAACAGAAACCUAAUUCAUAAUAAAACUAUUAUUAUUAAUAUUUAACACUUAGCAUGUCAUGUUGAUGUAGAGAACAAUAAAUAUAUGUAGAUUAUCCACUGAAGUUGACCACCACUUGUGUAGUCAGACACAUUCAGUGUACUUAUUAAUGACAUGUAUUCUCCUUAAAUUGUAUUGAAUUCAUUUAAAAACUGGUCAAUAAAAUCUACACUGGUAGAAUAAAAAAAACCAAGAAUGAAUUAUGUUUAUAAUUGGACAGGCAUUUUGAAAGAAAUAAAAAUAUAAAUGAAGGAAAUGCGUUCCUUUUUAUUUCUUGAUUUUAUUCAGAGAACAGACAGAACUCUUGGGUAAUUUUCUCCACCCUUCUGACAGCCCUGACAGAAUUGAAUGUUGUGGUUUGAUGCCUUUUUUUUUUAAUCAGUAGGACAGCAACUAAGAAUUUUACCCAUGACAGCCCGAGUCAGAACAAGACAGGAAAGUAAAUCAAGACUGCUUCCAUACCAGCAGCAACAAAAGAGAAUGCACUGUCACAUGAAAUGCCUGGAUCUCAGGCUGAUGUGUUCAGUGAGAGGCUAUCCAUUGACUAGGAUACAGGGAACAACUGAUUACAAAUUAUGACCAGGCCUGCCCAAGAAGAGGAAAGACUGACUAUUCUUACCUCUGUGAGAGAUGAAUGCUACAUCUGCUAGG